UAAGUGCAUGUGGUGGAUGCCUUGGCGAUUACAGGCGACGAAGGACGUGAUAGCCUGCGAUAAGCUUCGGGGAGCUGGCAAAUAAGCUUUGAUCCGGAGAUUUCCGAAUGGGGAAACCCACCUCGUUUAGAGGUAUCGCAUGCUGAAUACAUAGGCAUGCGAGGCGAACCGGGCGAACUGAAACAUCUCAGUAGCUCGAGGAAAAGACAUCAACCGAGAUUCCGAAAGUAGUGGCGAGCGAAAUCGGAGUAGCCCUCGUGUUUUAGCAGUUGGCAUAUCAGAACGGAAUGGAAAGUCCGGCCAUAGCGGGUGAUAGCCCCGUAUGAGAAAUGUCGAUUGUGGAACUAGGCACGAAUAGAGUAGGGCGGGACACGUGAAAUCCUGUCUGAACAUGGGGGGACCACCCUCCAAGCCUAAGUACUCCUCAAUGACCGAUAGCGAACAAGUACCGUGAGGGAAAGAUGAAAAGACUUUUGAAAAGAGAGUAAAAUAGUACCUGAAACUGCUGAAAGGGAAGCGAUUGAAGUCAGUGUUGCUCCUGGUCUUUUUG
Molecule: ribosomal RNA, 550 nt
Filed under: Prymnesium parvum
Lineage: Eukaryota; Haptophyta; Prymnesiales; Prymnesiaceae
Description: partial Bacterial large subunit ribosomal RNA
Rfam family: Bacterial large subunit ribosomal RNA
Source: RNAcentral